Molecule: ribosomal RNA, 484 nt
Filed under: uncultured bacterium
Lineage: Bacteria
Description: partial 16S ribosomal RNA
Rfam family: Bacterial small subunit ribosomal RNA
Source: RNAcentral
AUUGAACGCUGGCGGCAUGCUUUACACAUGCAAGUCGAACGGCAGCGCGGGCUUCGGCCUGGCGGCGAGUAGCGAGCGGGUGAGUAAUACAUCGGAACGUGCCCAGUAGUGGGGGAUAGCUCGGCGAAAGCCGGAUUAAUACCGCAUACGACCUGAGGGUGAAAGCGGGGGAUCUUCGGACCUCGCGCUAUUGGAGCGGCCGAUGGCAGAUUAGCUAGUUGGUGGGGUAAAGGCCUACCAAGGCGACGAUCUGUAGCUGGUCUGAGAGGACGACCAGCCACACUGGGACUGAGACACGGCCCAGACUCCUACGGGAGGCAGCAGUGGGGAAUUUUGGACAAUGGGCGAAAGCCUGAUCCAGCAAUGCCGCGUGUGUGAUGAAGGCCUUCGGGUUGUAAAGCACUUUUGGCGGGAACGAAAAGGACUGUGCCAAUACCACGGUUCGAUGACGGUACCCGCAGAAUAAGCACCGGCUAACUACGUG